Non-coding RNA from Peromyscus maniculatus bairdii (prairie deer mouse), 766 nucleotides. Lineage: Eukaryota; Metazoa; Chordata; Mammalia; Rodentia; Cricetidae. The record is from RefSeq and is a predicted model, not a curated record.
AGCGUUUCAGAAGAGACCCACCUUACUAAGAUCCAACAGGGAUUGAUCGUCGACUUGUUCAAGUCUUCAACCACGUUACAGUUUUCAAAGUGAUUUGUUAAACUCCAGCUGUUUCUGCAGCAUUCAAGACAGAGCAGUCUGUAGACUGAGGAUGGAUGCCCCACUGGUGCCAAGGGAGCAUGAGUGACUCUUCAGGAAGCCAGGUGUCGCUGUCAUUUCUAUAGUUUUAGAAGUUGUCUGCUCUGCACUCCCUGUUUACUCAGGUAAUAUUUUAUCCUUCCUGGAUCUCUGAUGAGGUUGUCCUUCCUGGAUCUCUGAUGUGGUUGAAGACAAGCUGUUCUACUCCCCCGGAAACAUGCUUACCAAGAUCUAGUGAGUGAAAGCUGUGGAUGGUGAUAAGCAUGCUACAUUGUAGAGGAAUUCUUCGAAAGCAAAAAUAUCAUCUGAGUUCCAACUGUCAGUAGAGUUCGAAGAAAAGUUCUGGAGACAGGUAAGCAAAGAUGGCUUUCUUUACUAGCCUAAAUUAGGAAACUACAAAUUAUUUUUAACAGAAUUCUGUUGAAUAAUAUUGAUAAUUUGCAUGAUGCAGUUUUGUGUGAAGCAAAAAAAAUGGUUUUAGUUUCAGAUAAUAGACUUAAAUUUUACUUCUUAGAUAUUAUGAACAAGGUAAACAGAAAGAUCUUUUCUGUUGUUUUGAGGGGUUUUUUAUAUAAUUUUUUAUUUUAUGUGCAUUGGUGUUUUGCCUGCAUGAAUAUCUAUGUAAGGG